Molecule: ribosomal RNA, 253 nt
Filed under: uncultured bacterium
Lineage: Bacteria
Description: partial 16S ribosomal RNA
Rfam family: Bacterial small subunit ribosomal RNA
Source: RNAcentral
UACGGGGGGGGCAAGCGUUGUUCGGAAUUACUGGGCGUAAAGCGCGUGUAGGCGGUUGUCCAAGUUGGAUGUGAAAGCCUUGAGCUUAACUCAAGAAAUGCAUUCAGGACUGGAUGACUAGAGGACCGGAGAGGAUAGUGGAAUUCCCAGUGUAGUGGUGAAAUACGUAGAGAUUGGGAAGAACACCAGUGGCGAAGGCGGCUAUCUGGACGGUUUCUGACGCUAAGACGCGAAAGCGUGGGGAGCAAACAGG